Hipposideros armiger (great roundleaf bat) is the source of this 2214-nucleotide long non-coding RNA. RefSeq lists it as uncharacterized. NCBI's taxonomy places the organism in Eukaryota, Metazoa, Chordata, Mammalia, Chiroptera, Hipposideridae. The record is from RefSeq and is a predicted model, not a curated record. The transcript is spliced from 4 exons.
CUCCCCACUCGGCACCACUAACAAAACGCGCAGACUUAAGGGAAAAACAAAACCUCACUUAGUGUACUACAGUUCCACUCCCCGUGACAUUCGCUCAGGACGCCCCCCAAAAAGGGGACACGGGGGGUAGAAGGGGCGGACGCAAACCCAGACCCAGACCCAGACCGACAGCACAUAAAAGGGUCGAAAAAGCUCCCGUCACUGUUCUUUCCGGGGUGGGUUAGGAGAGACCAGAGACUCGUUUGACUUACACGAAGGAAGGGGAGUGGGAGCAUUAGAGGGAAAUGUAGUGCCCCCCCGCGUCGCAACCCUCCCUCCAAAAAAAAAAAAAAAGCUGAACUAUUUUAGAAAGGGGAGCAAAGAAAAAUCACUUUCCUGAGGAUAAAAGGCCGAGAAACCGGCUGGUCGGAGUCAAAAAGGAAUUGUUUGUUAAGCAAGAAACACAGCCAAAGCCAGGCAAAUCAGAACCAAAAAGGCCAGCUCGGGGCCUUUUGCUGGUGGUAUUGGGGAAACUUAUUUUCUUUCUGCUGUGCUCGCUGGCUCUAUGGCAUGGAAACCUAAAGCUGUGGCAAUCAGAGGGGGAAAGCUCGGUUCUUUGGUCAACGUGAGAAAUGUCCAAACCUGCAGAGAGGUUUUAUGAGAAGUGUCUCUCCUCCAGUGGCCAACACAGAGAGAAGUGGGGCUGAAAGAGGAAGAGAGGAAUCCAAUGGACGUCAUUGAGCAGAUCUACUCCACGGAUUUACAGUGUUGUGAACCAGUAAAUUCCUCUUUCCAAGCAAGCCUGUUUGAGGUGAAUCUGACUUCGCUCUCAGCUUCAGAAGGUCGACACCCACACAGACCUGGGCAAUCAGAACACUGCACACCUCUGACUAGAGUGAUUGAUUCUGGACACCGAAACCACAUGCUCAUAUCAAGGCCAGUCAACUCAAAAGCGAUGGGACAGUUCUGGGACUGGGGAAGGGGCCUGUUCUGUCUGUUGGGAUUGCUGCAAAUAUGGAAUAUAAGCUUGGAGUUCCUAGCCCCUGUCAUAAAUGAAGAACCUAUUUGACAAUAGAGGUAAAAUAGACAAAAUGAGAGCAGAGAGAUAUGGAGAAUGGACACAGUCCUGUCGAAAUCACUGGAGCCACGUCAUCUAGCUGAACCUAAAGAUAAUCUAUCCCUGAAAUUUUUAAUUAUGUGAGUCGAUACCCCCUCACUUUCCCACUAUUUUUGGUGGGGGUGGGGUGGAAUCUAGUUUAUGUUGGGUUUAUUACCUUCCAAUUGAGAGUCUUUAACCCAAGAAUAACUGGAAAGUCAUGAAAUGCAUUUAAUCAGGGGAGGGAUGUGAUCAGAUUUGAGAGUUUUGAAGGGCGGGUUUUGAUUGAGUAUCUUUUCUUGAACACCACUCAAACCUUUCCCUUUUCAUUCCUGAAAAGUAAUGAAGAAGAGUCAGGUGACUGGUUGUACCUAUAUUUGUACCCAGUGUUUGUAGUGAGACCAAAUGUAACUGUGAUUAGGGGUCAUCACUGGGGACAAGGUAGAUGGCUAUUAUAUACACAUCAUUUUAUUUACUCUUCUUUAGUGUCUAGUAUUGAAUUUCACUUUGCAAAUUCUAUCCAUGCAUGCUUUUUUGAGCAUUUACUGAGCCAGUUAGCAUUUCAUUGAAGAAAUGACUAAAUUUCUGGCUCUUUCUCUAACUGUGAAUGAAAAUUUGAGAAGACGUUUGGUCAAAUUCCUUUUUUCUUUUCCAAGAUAGGAAUAUAGUAAGCAUUUUUCCAGAAAAGAUGGACUAGGCCCAUGAUUGUAAUAAUUAUCUAUGGCAAGAUUAAAAAUAGUUUAUUAGCAUUGAUUAUGUCACAUGUGCAUACAUUAAGAUUAAGAAGAAAGGUUGGGAAUUUUCUAAUGGGAUCAGAAGUGUUCUGGCUGUCUUCUGAUUACCAUAUAAACUAAGGUGGGUUUUUGUUUGUUUGUUUAAAUUAUUUUAAUUUUAGCCAGUGGGUAAAAGUAAAGUAUACAACUUGUAGAUCACAUUUUUAAAGAAAUUUUAUUGCCCUCUACUUCAUCUCUUUCCCCAGUGUGGGCUGGGUUGUGUACAUGAUGUUAUGAGCCAGUGUUGACCGUGGGCCACACAGAUGAGGCCAACCAACAGCUCAGAGGAGGCAGAGCAACAAGGUAGAGGUGACUUGGAUCCAUAAAUGACCUCCUGGAAUGGAGUCACCUACCUACCCAGGACAA